AAUGUAUGACACCGUUGACUUUUUAUCCAACAUUUGACCAUUCGUCUUAUUCAAAAAAUUUAUACAAUUAUCAUUAAUUUUAUUGUGACUCGAUUCAUUAUCAAAUGUUCUUUAAGCAUGAUAUAAAUACUUUCAUAUUUGCACGAAAAUUUUGAAUAAAACGAAUGGUUAAACGUUGGUCGAAAAAUCAACGGCGUCAUACAUU
This is a non-coding RNA of Oryza glaberrima (African rice), 205 nucleotides long. The record is from Rfam. Lineage: Eukaryota; Viridiplantae; Streptophyta; Magnoliopsida; Poales; Poaceae.